Molecule: long non-coding RNA, 497 nt
Organism: Myripristis murdjan (pinecone soldierfish)
Lineage: Eukaryota; Metazoa; Chordata; Actinopteri; Holocentriformes; Holocentridae
Exons: 2
Source: RefSeq, a predicted model, not a curated record
UGCAGCCUCAUGAAUCUCUGGUGAUUCUCCCCUUAUUUGGCAAGAGGCUGAGGAUGACACAGCAGAAACGCCACCACCAUGUCAUCACUGCACGGCUAUUUCUGGCUAAUGUCUUUACUUGGCUCCUCAUAAGGGACCUCGUGCACUACAGAUGCCUUUCAACCGCAGACAGGGGAGGAGAAAGACGAUGGCAGCAGCAAUAAAAGAGAAUGACGAUGGUCCCGCCCCUCUUUCAUUGUGUGGAGGAAGCAUCAUAUCACAUCCCAUCAUGGUUUCAGCCGACUGACCGAGAUGCUGCUUGAGUUACACCGCCCCAUUCACAAGGCCCGAUUCAUCACCCAGUGUGCAUUUCUGUCACCUUAUCCACUUUUAUAUAACUACUGUAUAUCAGCAGACAAUGAGAAAACUUGUUUAUAGUGAACAAAAAUAACAAAAACAGUACCAAUAUUUACAUCACUGUACAGCAUGUCUUAUGAAAUUAAAGGGAAUGGCGAUUG